This 468-nucleotide ribosomal RNA is filed under the name uncultured bacterium. Its description in RNAcentral is "partial 16S ribosomal RNA". It matches the Rfam family "Bacterial small subunit ribosomal RNA", at positions 28 to 507 of the family's 1533-position model. The record is from RNAcentral.
GACGAACGCUGGCGGCGUGCUUUACACAUGCAAGUCGAACGGAAAGGCCCUGCUUUUGUGGGGUGCUCGAGUGGCGAACGGGUGAGUAACACGUGAGUAACCUGCCCUUGACUUUGGGAUAACUUCAGGAAACUGGGGCUAAUACCGGAUAGGAGCUCCUGCUGCAUGGUGGGGGUUGGAAAGUUUCGGCGGUUGGGGAUGGACUCGCGGCUUAUCAGCUUGUUGGUGGGGUAGUGGCUUACCAAGGCUUUGACGGGUAGCCGGCCUGAGAGGGUGACCGGCCACAUUGGGACUGAGAUACGGCCCAGACUCCUACGGGAGGCACCAGUGGGGAAUAUUGCACAAUGGGCGGAAGCCUGAUGCAGCAACGCCGCGUGCGGGAUGACGGCCUUCGGGUUGUAAACCGCUUUCGCCUGUGACGAAGCGUGAGUGACGGUAAUGGGUAAAGAAGCACCGGCUAACUACGUG